GUUUUAGUAUAUAGCCUUUUGUAAUAAUUGUUUGCUUCUUUUAAUAUUUUAUCUUGCUCACUGAUAGUGUCCCCUUUUUCAUUGACUAAUUUUGGAAUAGUUUUAUUUAUAAAAUGUUUAGUUUCUAAAUUUAGAAAAAAGUUUGAAGGUUUUUCUCCUUCUUCUAUCCAUUGGAUUUUGGAUCUGAUGUAGGACCCCCUCAUCUUUUCUUGUCUUAAUACUUUUAGAUCAGUUUUCUUUUUUUCAGUUUCAAUAAAUAUUUCUUCUGUCAAUAUUUGUUCUUCUAGUUUUUUAAUAUCUUCUGAUAGUAUUCUUUCUUUUUUAUCUUUUUGUUUCUUCCUAAAAGAA
RNAcentral lists this long non-coding RNA (348 nucleotides) under Mytilus galloprovincialis (Mediterranean mussel). The record is from RNAcentral. Lineage: Eukaryota; Metazoa; Mollusca; Bivalvia; Mytilida; Mytilidae.